Molecule: ribosomal RNA, 468 nt
Filed under: uncultured bacterium
Lineage: Bacteria
Description: partial 16S ribosomal RNA
Rfam family: Bacterial small subunit ribosomal RNA
Source: RNAcentral
GACGACCACAGGCGGCGUGCUUAACACAUGCAAGUCGAACGGAAAGGCCCUGCUUUUGUGGGGUGCUCGAGUGUCGAACGCGUGAGUAACACGUGAGUAACCUGCCCUUGACUUUGGGAUAACUUCAGGAAACUGGGGCUAAUACCGGCUAGGACCACCUGCUGCAUGGCGCGGGUUGGACAGUUUCGGCGGUUGGGGAUGGACUCGCGGCGUAUCAGCUUGUUGGUGGGGUAGUGGCUUACCAAGGCUUUGACGGGUAGCCGGCCUGAGAGGGUGACCGGCCACAUUGGGACUGAGAUACGGCCCAGACUCCUACGGGAGGCAGCAGUGGGGUAUAUUGCACAAUGGGCGGAAGCCUGAUGCAGCAACGCCGCGUGCGGGAUGACGGCCUUCGGGUUGUAAACCGCUUUCGCCUGUGACGAAGCGUGAGUGACGGUAAUGGGUAAAGAAGCACCGGCUAAAUACGUG